UCCUGGCUUAGGAUGAACGCUAGCGACAGGCCUAACACAUGCAAGUCGAGGGGCAGCACAAGGAGCAAUCUGAGGUGGCGACCGGCGCACGGGUGAGUAACACGUAUGCAACCUGCCUGUAAGCGGGGAAUAACCCGUUGAAAGACGGACUAAUACCGCAUAAUACUAAAUUACUGCGUGGUAAUUUAUUUAAACAUUUAUGGCUUACAGAUGGGCAUGCGCAUGAUUAGCUAGUUGGAGAGGUAACGGCUCCCCAAGGCAACGAUCAUUAGGGGUUCUGAGAGGAAGGUCCCCCCACACUGGUACUGAGACACGGACCAGACUCCUACGGGAGGCAGCAGUGAGGAAUAUUGGUCAAUGGACGAGAGUCUGAACCAGCCAAGUCGCGUGCAGGAAGAAUUGUCCUAUGGAUUGUAAACUGCUUUUGCAGGGGAAUAAAGUGCAUCACGUGUGAUGUUUUGUAUGUACUCUGCGAAUAAGGAUCGGCUAACUCCGUGCCAGCCGCCGC
Molecule: ribosomal RNA, 508 nt
Filed under: uncultured bacterium
Lineage: Bacteria
Description: bacterial SSU rRNA
Rfam family: Bacterial small subunit ribosomal RNA
Source: RNAcentral